Molecule: long non-coding RNA, 387 nt
Organism: Mesocricetus auratus (golden hamster)
Lineage: Eukaryota; Metazoa; Chordata; Mammalia; Rodentia; Cricetidae
Exons: 3
Source: RefSeq, a predicted model, not a curated record
UUCUUUUUGCUUCAUGGUGCUAUGAGGAUUAUGCAGAGCUUGCCAGCCAACCAAGUGGCCAAUCUCUUAAACCCCCUGAGAACACCUUGGAGCACUCAAGUAGAUCUGGUCCAAGAUAGACUCAUGGUGAGUUGAAAUUUCAUGAAGAGAGCUUCACUGAGAAGUAAUCCAUACUCAGAGAUGCAAACACUGUAUUUUCUCUCAUUUAUGGAUGUUAGCUUCAAACUUUCAGCUGCUGUGGGAAGAGAAUGCCACCAGCGGACCCACCUGCUAUUAUCAGGGAAUGGGAUGACCCUUAAUCCAGCCCAGUGGAAGGCAGCUGCUCCUGCUAGAUGGAGAGGCUUCAAUGAGAAAUGCCACGUCAGGCCAGGCAGGAACUAUAAUGAU